This 487-nucleotide ribosomal RNA is filed under the name uncultured bacterium. RNAcentral describes it as "partial 16S ribosomal RNA". It matches the Rfam family "Bacterial small subunit ribosomal RNA", at positions 28 to 507 of the family's 1533-position model. The record is from RNAcentral.
GACGAACGCUGGCGGCGUGCUUAACACAUGCAAGUCGAACGGGCUCUGUCUGGCUGUGUGCUGGGUGGGGUUAGUGGCGAACGGGUGAGUACUACGUGAGUAACCUGCCCUCUUUUUUGGGAUAAGCCUUGGAAACGGGGUCUAAUACUGGAUAUUCCUGUCUGGUCGCAUGGCUGGGUGGGGAAUGUUUUUUUCGGUGGGGGAUGGGCGCUCGGCCUAUCAGCUUGGGGGUGGGGUGAUGGCCUGCCGAGGACGCGACGGGAAGCCGGCAUGGGAGGGGGGGCGGCCACACUGGAACUGACACACGGCCCAGGCGCCUACGGGAGGCAGCAGUGGGGGGUAAUGAGCAGGGGACGCAGGACUGAGGCAGCGACGCCGCGGGAGGGAUGACGGCUGUCGGAUUGUAAACCUCUUGCGGCGAGGGACAAGGCUCUGCUUGGUAGUGGGGUUGAGGGUACCCGGUGAAGAAGCGCCGGCUAACUACGUG